Molecule: ribosomal RNA, 646 nt
Filed under: Akanthomyces tuberculatus
Lineage: Eukaryota; Fungi; Ascomycota; Sordariomycetes; Hypocreales; Cordycipitaceae
Description: eukaryotic LSU rRNA
Rfam family: Eukaryotic large subunit ribosomal RNA
Source: RNAcentral
GCAGAGGAUGCUUUUGGCGCGGCGCCUUCCGAGUUCCCUGGAACGGGACGCCACAGAGGGUGAGAGCCCCGUCUGGCGGAUGCCAAGCCUGUGUAAAGCUCCUUCGACGAGUCGAGUAGUUUGGGAAUGCUGCUCAAAAUGGGAGGUAUAUGUCUUCUAAAGCUAAAUAUUGGCCAGAGACCGAUAGCGCACAAGUAGAGUGAUCGAAAGAUGAAAAGCACUUUGAAAAGAGAGUUAAAAAGUACGUGAAAUUGUUGAAAGGGAAGCGCCUAUGACCAGACUUGGGCCCGGCGAAUCACCCAGCGUUCUCGCUGGUGCACUUUGCCGGGCACAGGCCAGCAUCGGUUUGGCGCGGGGGACAAAGGCUCCGGGAACGUAGCUCCCUCGGGAGUGUUAUAGCCCGCUGCGCAAUACCCUGCGCCGGACCGAGGUACGCGCUUCCGCAAGGAUGCUGGCGUAAUGGUCAUCAGCGACCCGUCUUGAAACACGGACCAAGGAGUCGUCUUCGUAUGCGAGUGUUCGGGUGUCAAACCCCUACGCGUAAUGAAAGUGAACGCAGGUGAGAGCUUCGGCGCAUCAUCGACCGAUCCUGAUGUUCUCGGAUGGAUUUGAGUAAGAGCAUACGGGGCCGGACCCGAAAGAAGGU